AGGACGAACGCUGGCGGCGGGCUUAACACAUGCAAGUCGAACGAGAACCCGGAGCUUGCUCUGGGGGAAAGUGGCGCACGGGUGAGUAACGCGUAGGCAAUCUGCCCCCAACUGAGGAAUAACCCAUCGAAAGGUGGGCUAAUACCACAUAACGACGGACGACCGCAUGGUCGAUCGUCCAAAGUUCAGGCGGUUGGGGAUGAGCCUGCGUCGGAUUAGCUAGUUGGCGGGGUAACGCCACCAAGGCGACGAUCCGUAGCGGGUCUGAGAGGAUGAUCCGCCACACUGGCACUGAGACACGGGCCAGACUCCUACGGGAGCAGCAGUGAGGAA
RNAcentral lists this ribosomal RNA (333 nucleotides) under uncultured soil bacterium. RNAcentral's name for it is "bacterial SSU rRNA". It matches the Rfam family "Bacterial small subunit ribosomal RNA", at positions 26 to 361 of the family's 1533-position model. The record is from RNAcentral.